RNAcentral lists this ribosomal RNA (819 nucleotides) under uncultured Staphylococcus sp. RNAcentral describes it as "bacterial SSU rRNA". It matches the Rfam family "Bacterial small subunit ribosomal RNA", at positions 91 to 896 of the family's 1533-position model. Lineage: Bacteria; Bacillati; Bacillota; Bacilli; Caryophanales; Staphylococcaceae. The record is from RNAcentral.
GUUAGCGGCGGACGGGUGAGUAACACGUGGAUAACCUACCUAUAAGACUGGGAUAACUUCGGGAAACCGGAGCUAAUACCGGAUAAUAUUUUGAACCGCAUGGUUCAAAAGUGAAAGACGGUCUUGCUGUCACUUAUAGAUGGAUCCGCGCUGCAUUAGCUAGUUGGUAAGGUAACGGCUUACCAAGGCAACGAUGCAUAGCCGACCUGAGAGGGUGAUCGGCCACACUGGAACUGAGACACGGUCCAGACUCCUACGGGAGGCAGCAGUAGGGAAUCUUCCGCAAUGGGCGAAAGCCUGACGGAGCAACGCCGCGUGAGUGAUGAAGGUCUUCGGAUCGUAAAACUCUGUUAUUAGGGAAGAACAUAUGUGUAAGUAACUGUGCACAUCUUGACGGUACCUAAUCAGAAAGCCACGGCUAACUACGUGCCAGCAGCCGCGGUAAUACGUAGGUGGCAAGCGUUAUCCGGAAUUAUUGGGCGUAAAGCGCGCGUAGGCGGGUUUUUAAGUCUGAUGUGAAAGCCCACGGCUCAACCGUGGAGGGUCAUUGGAAACUGGAAAACUUGAGUGCAGAAGAGGCAAAGUGGAAUUCCAUGUGUAGCGGUGAAAUGCGCAGAGAUAUGGAGGAACACCAGUGGCGAAGGCGACUUUCUGGUCUGUAACUGACGCUGAUGUGCGAAAGCGUGGGGAUCAAACAGGAUUAGAUACCCUGGUAGUCCACGCCGUAAACGAUGAGUGCUAAGUGUUAGGGGGUUUCCGCCCCUUAGUGCUGCAGCUAACGCAUUAAGCACUCCGCCUGGGAGUACGACCGCAAGGUUG